CUAAUGGUUUUAAUGGACACUGUAAUGGUCUCUAUUGGUAAUUUGCUUUCUUCUAUUGGUGGCAUGUAUUGUCUAUUGGAUACCAUUAAGGACCAAUAGAACACCUUUGGAAACUUAUGGUGGUAUCUACUGGACACCAGUAGAAACCAUUAUGACUCCAAUAAAUUAAGUGGUUUCUUUGGAAAACUGUAAUGGUCUUAGUGGGCAGGCUACUGCUGAAAAAAUAAAAAAAUAAAAUAAAUAAAUAAAUGAACACACAAACAAUAGAAACCAUUACAGAAUAUGUAAUGGUUUUAAUGGUUCUAAUGGGAAUUCUGUUGCUUUAAAUGGACACUGUAAUGGUCCCUAUGGGUCUGUAUUGGUAAUUUGCUUUCUUUUAUUGGUGGCAUGUAUUGUCUAUUGGAUACCGUUAAGGACCAAUAGAACACCUUUGGAAAAUUAUGCUGGUACCCACGUAUGCUGGACGUCAUUUGGACAUCGGUUUUUUUUUUUUUUUUGCUAAAUCAACUCGGCCCGUCAUGGCCUUCUUUUAGAUCAAAAAUUGACGUUGAAAGUUGGUCUUUGCUUGGUUCGUCUGAUUUGGUUCAAAUAUAGCCCCAAAAUCUAUGUUUAAUAUUAGGUUUUGUUUGGUCCAUCUGAUUUGGUCCAAAUUUAGGCCAAAAAUAGAUGUUGAAAUAACAGUGAAAUUCUGCGUGACUUCUACGUGCUGCAAUGGGCGCGCGCGCUGAACUGGAGCGGAGGACGUCACCAUGGAAACGAGGCGGCAGCCGAACCGUCAAGCAGCUGAACGCUGACUCUCAAUGUGGUUUUCAUUAUUGUUUUAGGUAAGUUUCGUCUAUAUAAUUACACAAAUAAUACAUUAAAGUGUUUCUGACACUUUAUUUCAUGUAAAUGAUACGCUUCCGUUUAAUAUUUACUUUAUAGAAAUGGUUUAGUGUCGUCAGAAAAAGUCCGUUAGCAUCUCCACUGCAAGGCUAACUACAAGAGGUUCUUCAAUGCUGAUGGCUGUGCUCUAGAGUCAUAUCUCCUGUCGAAGAACAUUUUUAGACACUAUGAACCAUGAAAAAGUUUAGCUCCAACCCCAGUUAAGCAGACCUGGGCAGCGGAUCAAGGAUCACCAGAAACUCUUCAGAACAUUGGUCCUUCAGCCCAGGACUGGACACCGGUGUUAGUGUCUGUCUCAGAAGCUGAAGAAAAGAGGCCACACCUCAGAGGAAAUAAGCGCCUCCUAAGUGUACGGAAAUACCUGGCUGAGAAGAUCAGUGACAAACCAGAUAAAUCUGUCAGUGGUCUAAGACAGCUACAAUGAAGCCACAAACGCAGUUCAUAGUUCCUGUAUUUCUAUAAUGCAUUAAUGAAUAACAAUAAUUUAAAAAAAAUGUAAUGUCAAGGUUUUGUGUUAAUUCCAGCUAUGUUGAGUAUUCUGUGAAUAAUUUUGAUUUUAGGUGCAUAUUCUUAAUUCUUUGCAAAACAACCUGAACUGUUUGCUAUUGAAAGGUUGGUAUGUAGUUUAAAUAAAUAAAAAUGAUAUUCUUGACAAAA
This is a long non-coding RNA of Cyprinus carpio (common carp), 1542 nucleotides long. RefSeq lists it as uncharacterized. The transcript has 5 exons. Lineage: Eukaryota; Metazoa; Chordata; Actinopteri; Cypriniformes; Cyprinidae. The record is from RefSeq and is a predicted model, not a curated record.